GACGUAGGGCGCGAGCGUUGUCCGGAUUUAUUGGGCGUAAAGAGCUCGUAGGCGGCUCGUUGCGUCAAUCGUGAAAACUCAGGGCUUAACUCUGAGCUUGCGGUUGAUACGGGCGGGCUAGAGUUCGGUAGGGGAGUCUGGAAUUCCUGGUGUAGCGGUGAAAUGCGCAGAUAUCAGGAGGAACACCGAUGGCGAAGGCAGGACUCUGGGCCGAUACUGACGCUGAGGAGCGAAAGCGUGGGGAGCAAACAGGAUUAGAUACCCUGGUAGUCCACGCUGUAAACGUUGGGCGCUAGGUGUGGGGGGCCUCUCCGGUUCCCUGUGCCGCAGCUAACGCAUUAAGCGCCCCGCCUGGGGAGUACGGCCGCAAGGCUAAA
This 377-nucleotide ribosomal RNA is filed under the name uncultured bacterium. Its description in RNAcentral is "bacterial SSU rRNA". It matches the Rfam family "Bacterial small subunit ribosomal RNA", at positions 524 to 898 of the family's 1533-position model. The record is from RNAcentral.